ACGGCUCAGUAACACGUGGACAACCUACCCUGAGGAGGGGGAUAACCCCGGGAAACUGGGGAUAAUACCCCAUAGACUAUGGAUGCUGGAAUGCUCUGUAGUUAAAAGGCCCGCCGCCUCAGGAUGGGUCUGCGGCCGAUUAGGUUGUUGUUGGGGUAACGGCCCAACAAGCCUGUAAUCGGUACGGGUUGUGGGUGCAAGAGCCCGGAGAUGGAUUCUGAGACACGAAUCCAGGCCCUACGGGGCGCAGCAGGCGCGAAAACCUUACAAUGCGAGCAAUCGUGAUAAGGGAACUCCGAGUGCCCGUAAAAUCGGGCUGUCCGCCAGUGUAAAUAACUGGUGAAGAAAGGGCCGGGCAAGACCGGUGCCAGCCGCCGCGGUAAUACCGGCGGCUCGAGUGGUGGCCACUAUUACUGGGCUUAAAGCGUUCGUAGCUAGUCUGUUAAGUCUCUGGGGAAAUCUUCCGGCUUAACCGGAAGGCGUCUCAGGGAUACUGACAGACUAGGGACCGGAAGAGGUGAGAGGUACUCCAGGGGUAGGAGUGAAAUCCUGUAAUCCUUGGGGGACCACCUGUGGCGAAGGCGUCUCACCAGGACGGCUCCGACAGUGAGGAACGAAAGCUGGGGGAGCAAACCGGAUUAGAUACCCGGGUAGUCCCAGCUGUAAACGAUGCGCGUUAGGUGUAUCGGUGACCACGAGUCACCGAGGUGCCGAAGAGAAAUCGUGAAACGCGCCGCCUGGGAAGUACGGUCGCAAGGCUGAAACUUAAAGGAAUUGGCGGGGGAGCAC
Molecule: ribosomal RNA, 789 nt
Filed under: uncultured archaeon
Lineage: Archaea
Description: bacterial SSU rRNA
Rfam family: Archaeal small subunit ribosomal RNA
Source: RNAcentral